RNAcentral lists this ribosomal RNA (504 nucleotides) under uncultured bacterium. Its description in RNAcentral is "partial 16S ribosomal RNA". It matches the Rfam family "Bacterial small subunit ribosomal RNA", at positions 30 to 523 of the family's 1533-position model. The record is from RNAcentral.
AUUGAACGCUGGCGGCAUGCCUUACACAUGCAAGUCGAACGGCAGCAUGGAGAGCUUGCUCUCUGAUGGCGAGUGGCGAACGGGUGAGUAAUGCAUCGGAACGUACCGUGUAAUGGGGGAUAACGUAGCGAAAGUUACGCUAAUACCGCAUACGACCUGAGGGUGAAAGCAGGGGAUCGCAAGACCUUGCGUUAUACGAGCGGCCGAUGUCAGAUUAGCUAGUUGGUGAGGUAAAGGCUCACCAAGGCGACGAUCUGUAGCGGGUCUGAGAGGAUGAUCCGCCACACUGGGACUGAGACACGGCCCAGACUCCUACGGGAGGCAGCAGUGGGGAAUUUUGGACAAUGGGGGCAACCCUGAUCCAGCCAUGCCGCGUGAGUGAAGAAGGCCUUCGGGUUGUAAAGCUCUUUCGGCCGGGAAGAAAUCGCACAGGCUAAUACUCUGUGUGGAUGACGGUACCGGCAUAAGAAGCACCGGCUAACUACGUGCCAGCAGCCACGGUAA